Gossypium raimondii (Peruvian cotton) is the source of this 74-nucleotide non-coding RNA. The record is from Rfam. Lineage: Eukaryota; Viridiplantae; Streptophyta; Magnoliopsida; Malvales; Malvaceae.
GCAGAUGUAGCCAAGUGGAUCAAGGCAAUGGAUUGUGAAUCCACCAUGCGCGGGUUCAAUUCUCGUCAUUCGCC